Molecule: long non-coding RNA, 5510 nt
Filed under: Elaeis guineensis (African oil palm)
Lineage: Eukaryota; Viridiplantae; Streptophyta; Magnoliopsida; Arecales; Arecaceae
Description: long non-coding RNA (EGUI_LNC011230)
Source: RNAcentral
GGCAACAUCUGUAUGUUGUGCUGUUUGCAAUGCUGUUACUGUGGUACCCUCGCCUGGUAUCAUUUCCUACCUGAAGUUUCAUGUAUUGCUGACUUUUAUACCAGUGAAGGACUAAUACGAAGCUAAUUCACUUACAAAAACUAUUAAAAAAAAGAUAAGUUGUAAAAACAAAACUGACAAUUUCAAUAGCUAUAAUUGAUGUCAAAAUAUUUUCCAAGUACUGGAUUGAGGUGUUUUCUCGGUGAUAAAAAACAAAUGAACUGAACAAAUUCAUUGAGAUGUGUCGUUGCAUUUUAAAUUGCUCUAGAUUAUUCAGGUGGAAAACCAGCAAGUACGAAGAAUAUUGCCUUAUGAUGGCUUUUUAGUAGUGUUUUAUGCUAAUCCUUUAGGGAACUCACUGCUGUAAAGAUAAUUUAUGAAUUUAAUACCAUAUUCAAGACUUGAGAAGACAAAAAUCUUUUAGGAUAAUUUGAAGAAAGGGCUUUGAUACAAAUAAGGCAGCACAAACUUGGGAAGGCUUUAACAUCAUAUAUAGUUUCCAAGGUUGAUACACACACAAAAUAAAUAACACAGGCUUCAACAAUUGACUGUGGAUGAAAUUUAUUUGGAUGAUGAGAAAAAUGAUAAAAUCGAGCUCCACAUGAAAAGUAGAACAUGAUGAAUUUUGUCCAUUUUGUAGGCUUUUCUUGGGUCUGUAACUGUUUAUUUGGUCACUUUUUUUUUGACAAACAAAAUUAACAAAGAAAAAUUAAAAGAAACAGUAACCAUCAAGCCUUUUCCCUACUAUGUGAGUUCAGUUUUAUAACCUUCAUUUGCCAAUCGCUUCUAUGGGGGAAUAAACCUCUACUCUGUAACAGCUUUUACUCUUAUUUUCAAUCAUGUUUGCAAUAUCUGAAACUAAAUGUUUUCUUUAGUAACUGCUAUUCUUGACUUUGAAACAGGAACUGAAAUGGCUCGGUUAGUUUGUGGAGGGUGCCACAUGCUACUGAUGCACAUGCAUGGAGCAUAUAGUGUCCAAUGUUCUUGUUGCCACACCAUCAAUCUGGCUUUGGAAGGUCGGAAAAUCAUUAAGAACCAAUAUUUCUAUUCUCAAAUUACUGCAUCACAAUUCAAUUUUUCUUAGACUCUGAGCCCUAAAACAUAAUCUUGUAAAUACUUGCAUCGAGAAGAAGCAUGCUCCCUUUUCUUAUCUAAUUAUCGAAAACUGGAUAUUAAAUUUGCAGUUGCUGUGUCUCAUAUAUCAAGACAGAAAAUAAUGUAAACCCUUUUGAUAUAGUUUCUGUGGCUUAGCAUGGCAGGAUUUAGCAGUAUAUGAAAGAUAUCUGUAAAAACCUAAGUAAAAGAUGAAAAUGGCCUACAGGAGAAGAUUUCUAUAUUGAUCAUGCACUUAGUACACAUGCAAUGAAUAUACCAUGCAGAAAAUUAAGAACAUCGUUCCUAUAAAUGCAUUUACCAUAAGCAAAUGAAGGGGGAAAGCUGAGUUAUUUUAUCCAUUGAAAAUGUUGAUCACAACAAGAUCCUAAAACAUUCGAAGUUUGUCACAAAUUUCUAUAUCUAGAAGUGAUAAUAGAGAAUCAUAUUACGGUUUCCUGAAAAAGGAUUACAAGAAAAUGCAAUCUAUAAACUGGAUGGUAAAAUUAAAGCUUUCCAUUGAAUAAGAAGCUAAUUUGGACUGUCUAAUGCACUUAUUUCAGGAGUCAUGAAAUCUCAUUAUCCGUCAAACUCUCAAUACUUUUCCACACCACUUGGAUCUCAUACCAGUUCAAUAGUUCAACAAUUACUACUUAUGAAAAGAGAUCAGAACUACCAGCUAAGAGCACAUGGUUAAGUACUUCAAUAAGGUGACACCAAUCACCUAAAUCAUGCAAAGAUAUCUUAUACCAGUUACACUUAGCCUCAUGGCCUAUGCUACUCGUGUUCCCAUCAAUUGUGUUUUGAAAAUUGAAUUUGAAGUAUGUCUCUAUUAGAAGGAGAUGGAAAACCUAACUUAAUCUGACAAAAUGACCUAGACCUAUUAAAUACAGGGAAAAAAAUACGAAGCUUCCUCAAUCAGGUGAAAAGGAAUUCGAGAGAUUGGAUCAUGUUGUUGAGGAUCUCGCAGACUCUCAGAAACCUUGUCAAGCCCCAUGGAUGAUCCAUUUGCAUGAUCAUUUCCCUUUGAAAUGAUUAUUCCUCAUAAUAAAGAAGUUCUACCUCAAUCUAGUUCCAAGCUUUUCCUAGCGAAUCUUGACAGCCGUGCAAGAUUUUUUUUUGAGAAAUUCUUUUUUCCGACUUUGUGUUGCUUCAACAAAUGUUAUAGAAUAGUAUUAACAAAUAAUGCCUGACAAGCUUUUUAGAAUAGUACUCGAAUACAUUAUAGAGUAAUCAAAAGUUCUUUAUGCUUAUAUGAACUCAUAAGAAUACAGAGAAGUUGCCUACAUGCAUUUUAACACCAAUUUUUUGUGGCAGCAAAUCAGGUUGCACAUGUUAACUGUGCGAACUGUCAUAUGUUGUUAAUGUACCCGGAUGGAGCAAGAUCUGUGAAAUGUGCAGUUUGCAAUUUUGUGACAUCAAUUGUGGUUGGUUUCCUUUAAUUUGACUGUAUCUUGCUGUAUCAUGCAUUCAUCAUGCAUUUGAAUAAUUUUCUUAUCCUUGUUCUUCAGUUUAUAUGCUUGGUCAUGUCCAACAUGCAAGCAUCACUAAACAUCUUGAAUGCCGAGUAGCUGAUUUAGAAAACAAUAUCAUUGCACAGAACACAACUAGCUUCAUGGCUCCCACCAAGAAAACCAAGUCACUAACACAAAAUCAAUUCAAUAGAACUUCAUAACUAAAAAGCACAGAAUAGAUAUUGUAAAGCAUAUACAUGCAUUAUUAAAAAACCAAAAAGAAAUAAACCAUCAUGACCUAAGGCCCUGCUUGGUUGCCGAACAAGUGGGGAGGUAUCCCCCAUAAAUUGGGGGAUAUCCUUGCCAAUGCAGAUAAAAUCUGUGAAAUAGGGGCUUAUACUGUGCAGCAGGAUAAGUGCGUCCACAUAGUAUAAGUCUAUUAUUCUACCACUUUGGUGGAAUAGACUUAUACUGCAGAAUUAGCUCACCCCUAUUCACCCCAAUUAUCAUUUUGCCUUUAUCCAUUUUAUAUAAACACCUAAAAAAUGGGAGGGUAGUUUCAUCUUUGUGAUAUUACAAAAUAUCUGAAAAUUGAAUAUGCACUAGUUGUACCUUAUUCCCUACAUUUAUUCCUCCAACCAAAUGCCAAAAUGCUCCUGUUCCACAGAAUAGGUCUAUCCUUCCAACAAUACAAAGGCUAUCUCUUCAAAAAAUUAUUCUGCAACCAAAUAUCAGAAUAAUCUUCAAAGAAUACCCUUUCAGCAUCAUCUUUAGAUGACAAAGAUGUCUAUUUGAAGACUACCAAUUUAUACUAUCACAAAACUAUGGUCUUUCUCUUUUUGGAUAUACUAUCAUGUUAUAUAAUCCAUCAUAUUACUUAAAAGUGACUAUAUAUUCCACCAUAAUAUUUGUGAAGGAAAAAUACCACUUAGAAUUUGAACCUACAACAACCUAGCGUUUAACAAUGUAUUUCAUCAGUGUUUCUGCAAAAUUUCAUUUAUGUAACCAGAAGGAGGAAGACAAAAUGAAAAAUCUCAUCUAAUGGUUAUUUGCAGCUUCAAAGAUAUUUUUCAAAAAGUAUCUUACUGCCACCAUGCUGAGCCAUAUGUAAUUACUCUCUCUCUCUCUCUCUAGUGUAUGCUCCAAUCCCACCCCCACCCCACCUACCAAACCCCUGCCCGCUUGCUGAGUGAGUUAGAGGUGAUACCAUCCAAACUAAGUUUUCGGUUGUCUGAAACAUAUGUAACUCAAUACCAAAUAACAGUUAUGCUUCAAAAGAUCAACAGAAAAAACAAAAAAACAAGGAGAAAAAUUGCCUCUUUCCAUGGCAUAUUUCUGGGCAUGAAAUGCCACACUUUUUACCUACCUAUAUAUCUAAAAUAUGAUGUUUUGUAUGAAUCAGAAGUAAACGCAAUGCUUUCCAAGCUUAUUUAUGCUCACUGAAUAUUGUUUGUUAACAGGAUUCACCAAGCAGUGAACAGAAACUCGAUAGCUGAUAUCCUGAGCAAGCAAUAUUGGUAAUAUCAGACUUUUGAAGGUUCAGAAUUCCUUCUUGUGGUGCCUAAAGCAGGUGAGCAAACCUACAAGUGAAGACAAUAGUUUCAGGGUUCUCUACACUCUAGGUGAACUUUGCAGAGUUGUUUCUUUGUGAUUUUUAUUUUUAUUUUUUUUGCUUUCCAAUGUAAGCAGUCCCCUAAGUUCAAGGCAAGAGGAUGGUUCUAGUAUAAACAUAUAUGUAACAGAUGAGUGAUUGUCUCUGCAUUUGUGUACUGUCUUUGCCAAGGAUGGAGUUUGUUAAUUUAUUUUGCAGAAAUAGUGAGUUUAUCUUUGUUUACCAAUUCCAAAUUUUGAUACUCUCGUGGAUUAGAUAGUAUAGCCUCUAGAUUUUAAAGAAUCAUUUUAACGAUGCUCUUUCAUUUUGCUUUUCCUUCAUAAGUAACUCUUUUGCGAUAUUUCAAUACCAAUACCAAGCAUUACAAAGUUGGCUAGUCUUCUUCUUAGGGUGUUUAAACACCUCCAUGAUCAAGGCUUGAACUCGCAUCCUUUCCUGAACUAUAUUAUGUUUCAAUACUAUGUAUGAACAAUAUCCAUAUCUAUCACCCAAAUAUCACAAUUGAGCCUCUAUCAUUUUCAAAUUCAACAUUAUUAUGCUUUCUGCUUCCUGAUGUCCAUCAUUUAGGAAGUAUAAAAGUGAUCUCAAUAAAUUGAAAAAUUCAUCGAGUCCCAUAGUUCAGUGCAAGUAUCUUACACUUUGCUGGUUCUACCAACUAAUAUGACCCCAAAGUUUAUUAUAAGCAAAAGCAUCAAGGGUCAUCAAAAUUUACUAACCCAGAAACCAAUAUAAACUUUGGCACUGUGUUUGCAUUUCGAACUAUAAUGCGAUUUUGCUUUGUUCCCAGACUCCCACAUCUAGGUCUGCAUUUGGGAAGAAAAUAUAUUAGAAUUUAACCUCCGCCGACAAAUACUCGAAUUUCAAGAUUUGGGGAAUCUAUAACUUUCUCAUAGGGGUAUUUUCUUUAUUUUAAAAUCCUUAGUAGGGAACAAUUAUUUUUCUACACAGCAAUGAACUGGAAAUACUCUAUUUGUAACAUUCUUUACGGUGGAACCAUGAUAAGUCUUGGGAUGGAAAUCAGACGUAUCCUUCAUAAGUUUCUUGCUGACGUCGAUAGAAGUAACCUCAGAACCAUGGAUAAACUAUUCUUUUCCCCUCUUCUGGUGAGAUUGCAGCAAGUCAUUUGCUUCAAAUAUGAUCCGAACCUCAACUAACAAGACCAGAAGCAGGAUGCUGACUGGUACACGGCUGGGUUCAUCCAUCAUGCGACAUCCCUCACCAAACUCCUCUCCCUCUCAGCCACUCCAGACACCGCAAGCCUGGGUUAUGCCUGCAAGGUCUUCAAUCACACCCACCAACGCAACAUAGUGAUC